Chrysemys picta bellii (western painted turtle) is the source of this 2589-nucleotide long non-coding RNA. RefSeq lists it as uncharacterized. The record is from RefSeq and is a predicted model, not a curated record. Lineage: Eukaryota; Metazoa; Chordata; Testudines; Emydidae.
GCUGAUGCAGUCAAUUCCAUCUCUCCCCCACGCCACCUCCUUAAAUAAGCUUGGUCUUUCAAGAAAGACACAUUACUUGGAAAUAUGUAAUGAAUGCUUUGUAGGUCUAGAAAGGGUAGUUAGGCACUGUACCUGGAACCCUCUUGUCCAUUUUAGGUAACAGAACUGGUCAUCAGAGGUGGAGUGAGCAAUACAUAUGUCCGUUUUUCAUGUCCUAAGAGAAAUUGGUACUGAAGUUAUUGGGGCUUUGUAGUUUAGCCCUUGUAUAAAGAACAAGGCAAUCUACAUUACUGCGGAUAUUUUCCAGGAGAGUUUAUUCUUGUACGGUAAAAGGUAGACUGAGCAUGUGGUGGCCAGAUUUACAGGUGAAGGGGAUAUGCUCCGUGUGUCGAGAACUAUUCAUGAGAUGGCAGAAUGACUCCUGAUGCUUCUCCUGGAGGGUUUGGCUCUGCCCAUUUCCCUGACACAGCACUGCCAAGCAGGACUUCAGACGGUCACCUGCAAGUUCCAGGAAGGAUUUUUUUCUCCAAUGCACAAGUGGCCAGAUGUAUUUCUCUUCUUACCUUCCUCUGAAGCACCUAAGGAUGGCCAUAAUUGGAAGACUAGUGCUCCAAGACUGACUGGUGAGAAACUUAAUUUGUGCUGUAAAGCCUGAGGAGCCCAGGGAAAAUGUGGCAUGAGCAACCAAAAGUCUCCCAGGGUGAAUCACAAAUCCAUGUGAUGUCCCCAAGAACUAGAUCUGACCUUUGGAUUUUUGAUUCAGCUGAAACCUGGCAAAAAUCUCACAGAAAGUUCCCCACUGGCUGCAUAUCUUAGUGGUCUCACUUACAUAUGUUAUUCCAGCUGAGGUCAGUGGCAACUCAUGUUUGCAAAAUGAAGGUCUCUUUUUUUCAGACGGUAGCAUGAAAGCAAAACCCGCUCUAGAGCAGUAUAUUGCACUGAGCAUUCCAUCAUUGCAAACACCUCUGCGUACACUGAUCUGAAGAUUUGCACUUUUGGGGAAAUGUUUGAAUAGUAGUUGACCCUGUUUGAGUAUAGAGGCUUCUCGUCACUUCUUCAAAUGCAUAACCCAUUCCAAUGUUUAGAGAUAGCUUAUAUAGAACAGGGAGCAGAAUUCUACCCUUAAUUAUUUUUUGGCAUUUGCAUUUUGAUGUGUCUGAUGCUGACAUUUAUUUUCACCAACAAAGUGUCUUUUCAAUGCUACAAAAACCCAAAGAAAAUUAUUAAUUUCUUGUAGCUGAGACACCUGUGAAAGUGACAUGCCUAAAUUCACACAGUUGCCAUAAACAAAACAGAGAAUGCCCUGCAACAAACUAAAGUGAAAUAGAAAACACAUUUACUGAAGUGUGAACUCUACAAAGUAAACAGCUCUCCAAAGCUGUGCAUGAUGAUGUCAAGCAAGUUUGAGCUGAUUAAAACUCAGCUUCUAAACAGAAAACCAGUUAACUACUUCUGGAGAAAUUAGCAACAUAUGGAACAAUGACAUUCCAUCAAGUUAUACCUAUAGGGUUCUUUCACAGGCACUUCUGAGCAGGUCACUUGUUUGUGCCUUUGUGCUAGCUUAAUGAUGUUCUUCUAAAUGCCGUUGGCUCCAGAACAUCAGAGAAUUUUAGAGCCAAAAUAAACCACAUUCUUUGUGUCAAUUUAUUUUACAUUUCCCAUCCAGUAGCAAUUUAAUAAAAUUCAAGCCGAAGGCCCUCAACUCCUCUGUGGGCGGGCUGAAACGUGAGUUCAUUACACCAAGAAAUAAACUUACAGUGGAAACUACUAUUUUUUUUUUGGCUUACCUGCAUAUUUAGUUAACAUUAAUCACCUCCAGCUGCUUAAUUUGAAUCAAUACCAUGGUGUUUUGCAGCAUCCCUUCCUUCCCUAGCUGCUUUGACUGUACUACAGACUGAGCUUUGUAACAUCAGGACUGCAUUUGAAAAACGGGAGUUGCCUGAAUACCCUGAGAAUUUGUAACAAAAGCAAGAUAAUGACUGAACAUUAAUUCCUGUUAUAGAACCAGCCCACCUGCCAUGAUGGAACUGAAUGGUUGAGAAAGAAUAGCAAGGAUAUUGGCAGUGUAACUAAGUGCCUUUGCCAGUAGGUCAAACAACAUCAUUCUAUUUGAGCCAAAAUAAAAAAUUGGAAAUGCUAUGUGGCAAUAUAUAGCUUUGUUGGCUAACCGACCAGAAACAAAGCAUCCUAUCUUAUUUCAACCAGACUAUAUUCUCUACAGCUAAUUAGUAUAUUCAUAAUUAUAUCCAUUCAUUUUAGAAAUAUCACACUUUUUCAGGCUACAUCUCACAAAUUACAUUAGUUCAAAUCACAGAUGUGAAUGUCCAGUUUGUUUGUUUUGCUUUGUUAUUUGCAUGUGUUUCAUUUUCAUUGUUCAGUUUGCUGCCCUCUGCAUCCUCUUCUUCAAAUUUACACUUGUACAACAACAAAAAAACCCGUUGUCCUCAUCCUGCAUUCCCUGACUGACGUUCUAGAGUUAUAUGAUUUAUGCCUAAGUUUUGAAACAGCAUCAGAGGACUGUGCAGUGGGAGAGGUUUAGGUUGGAUAUUAGGAAAAACUUUUUCACUAGGAGGGUGGUGAAGCACUGGA